UGGUAGAUUCUGUGCUAUCGCUCUUCGCCCAACCCCGUCAGGACCGGAAGGUAGCAGCGGUAAGCGAUUGAACGAUGAGCCACAGGCGAUGUAUCGGAG
Non-coding RNA from Spirochaetes bacterium GWC2_52_13, 99 nucleotides. The record is from Rfam. Lineage: Bacteria; Pseudomonadati; Spirochaetota.